Molecule: unclassified non-coding RNA, 237 nt
Filed under: Hevea brasiliensis (rubber tree)
Lineage: Eukaryota; Viridiplantae; Streptophyta; Magnoliopsida; Malpighiales; Euphorbiaceae
Source: RNAcentral
AGCAUCUGGAGGGCCAGCAUCUCAUGCAUUGUACAAGGGCGGUGUUACUGAUCCUGAAGAGGCGAGACAUCUAAAGGCAAUCAUGAUCGCUGCAGCAGAGCUUGCAGCAUUGCGUCUUAGAGAUUUUCCUUCGGCGAAUCAAAAAGGUCUGGAAAUUGACAAGAGAGGCAGGGUGUUCCGUCUUCUUGACAAGAAUGGAGAUGGUAAAAUAAGCAUCGACGAACUUAUGGAAGUGAU